Molecule: ribosomal RNA, 862 nt
Filed under: uncultured Campylobacterota bacterium
Lineage: Bacteria; Pseudomonadati; Campylobacterota
Description: bacterial SSU rRNA
Rfam family: Bacterial small subunit ribosomal RNA
Source: RNAcentral
AACGAACGCUGGCGGCGUGCUUAACACAUGCAAGUCGAACGGUAACAGAGAGAAGCUUGCUUCUUUGCUGACGAGUGGCGCACGGGUGAGUAAUAUAUAGGUUACGUGCCUCUUAGUCUGGGAUAGCCACUGGAAACGGUGAUUAAUACUGGAUAUUCCUGCUUGCAGGGAAAGGUUUUUCGCUAAGAGAUCGGCCUAUACUGUAUCAGUUAGUUGGUGAGGUAAUGGCUCACCAAGACGAUGACACAUAGCGGGUUUGAGAGGAUGAUCCGCCACACUGGUACUGAGACACGGACCAGACUCCUACGGGAGGCAGCAGUGAGGAAUAUUGCACAAUGGGGGAAACCCUGAUGCAGCAACGCCGCGUGGAGGAUGACGCAUUUCGGUGUGUAAACUCCUUUUAUCAGAGAAGAACAUGACGGUAUCUGAUGAAUAAGCUCCGGCUAACUCCGUGCCAGCAGCCGCGGUAAUACGGAGGGAGCAAGCGUUAUUCGGAAUCACUGGGCGUAAAGGACGCGUAGGCGGGUUAUUAAGUCAGAUGUGAAAUCCUAUGGCUCAACCAUAGAACUGCAUUUGAAACUGGUAACCUAGAGUAUGGAAGGGGAAGAUGGAAUUAGUGGUGUAGGGGUAAAAUCCGUAGAUAUCACUAGGAAUACCGAAAGCGAAGGCGGUCUUCUGGGACAUUACUGACGCUGAGGCGUGAAAGCGUGGGGAGCAAACAGGAUUAGAUACCCUGGUAGUCCACGCCCUAAACGAUGAAUGCUAGUCGUCGGAGAGCUCGUCUCUUCGGUGAUGCAGUUAACACAUUAAGCAUUCCGCCUGGGGAGUACGGUCGCAAGAUUAAAACUCAAAGGAAUAGACG